UACGGAGGGUGCAAACGUUGCUCGGAAUCAUUGGGCGUAAAGCGCACGUAGGCGGUCCGUUAUGUCGGGUGUGAAAGCCCUCGGCUUAACCGAGGAAGUGCAUUCGAAACUGGCGGACUUGAGUACCGGAGAGGGUCGCGGAAUUCCCGGUGUAGAGGUGAAAUUCGUAGAUAUCGGGAGGAACACCAGUGGCGAAGGCGGCGACCUGGACGGAUACUGACGCCGAGGUGCGAAAGCGUGGGGAGCAAACAGG
RNAcentral lists this ribosomal RNA (253 nucleotides) under uncultured bacterium. RNAcentral describes it as "partial 16S ribosomal RNA". It matches the Rfam family "Bacterial small subunit ribosomal RNA", at positions 524 to 776 of the family's 1533-position model. The record is from RNAcentral.